This 308-nucleotide ribosomal RNA is filed under the name uncultured Prevotella sp. Its description in RNAcentral is "bacterial SSU rRNA". It matches the Rfam family "Bacterial small subunit ribosomal RNA", at positions 354 to 656 of the family's 1533-position model. Lineage: Bacteria; Pseudomonadati; Bacteroidota; Bacteroidia; Bacteroidales; Prevotellaceae. The record is from RNAcentral.
UGAGGGAAUAUUUGGGGUCAAUGGGCGAGAGCCUGAACCAGCCAAGUAGCGUGCAGGAUGACGGCCCUAUGGGUUGUAAACUGCUUUUAUAAGGGAAUAAAGUGGGUCUCGUGAGACUUUUUGCAUGUACCUUAUGAAUAAGGACCGGCUAAUUCCGUGCCAGCAGCCGCGGUAAUACGGAAGGUCCGGGCGUUAUCCGGAUUUAUUGGGUUUAAAGGGAGCGUAGGCCGGAGAUUAAGCGUGUUGUGAAAUGUAGUGGCUCAACCUCUGCACUGCAGCGCGAACUGGUCUUCUUGAGUACGCACAAC